CUCUCUUUCUCUCUCUUUCUUCCUCUGUCUCUCUCUUCCUCUCUCUCUCUCUCUUUCUCCCUCUCUACUCGGGUAUUCCAUUGCACCGAGAACGCGCACUCUCUGCGCGCGCGGCACACACACAGGACUCGUGUCGCAAUAUUAUAGGCACGCCGGAUGCGGCCGAUCGUCUCGCUAGAACGGUCGCGGACCAGGUCAAUAUAUACGCGGUCCAACGGAGCUAUGAACUAUUGACACGCAUAGCGGGGGCUUAUUAUUGGCCCGUCCGAAACGGCGCGAUACCACUCCGCAGCGGUCGAUAGUUUUCCCGGAGCGCCAGAGCGGCAGUCGGGAAUCUAACGCCGGCCCCUGUAUAAUUAUUGCGUAAUUAGCAAAUUUGAGCACCACGGCCGGAUCGAUAAUCGUAAAUUAUCGGGAUUGGUCAGCCGAGGCUGAUGCAUUGCCCACGGCGGAGCACGGCAGCGGCGCCGCGAUAUUGUUGCUCUCUCCGCCGUAUCGUUGUACGCGUACCCCGGAUACCCGUAUGCGUCUCCAUUGGUGCACUGUGUACGCGUACCUGCCUCUAUGGCCAAGCUACCAAUCGGGAUUUCGCUCGUCGUAGUAUUUAUCGGUGCGUGGCUGGACGCGAUCACAUCUCCAGCGACGAAAGGAUUCCGUGAGUAGCGUUCACCGAUCGAAGAGCUCGCGGAUUUCACGGCGGAACGUCAUCGAAAUUGGAAGAUUUAUUCAAAGUACUGUCUUUUUUCACAAGAUGCCUUCCCGCUUUUACAAUUUUUCAAAUGUCAAAAAUCCGCAUGGUUUCGCUCAAAAAUACCAUCAUCGAUGCGUGGACAAGCGGUGAAUCUCAAUUAUGAGCAUUUUCAUCGAGGCAGACCGACAAGAUUUUGAUUUUACCGAAUCGCGCAAGCGACGCGUGGCCGUGGUACAAGGGACGAUGAUUCCACACUCGGUUAAUAUCCGCGAUCGACGUGCCCGUUCCCACUUCAUCCUCCACCCCGUCGUUAACCGAACGCGUGCGUACGCGUGUGCGUCGCACGACGCCGGGACGCGGCAGCGUUGAGCCCCCCCCCCCCCGCGCGGAUAAUAAUUAUUUUCGUAAUUUCCUGGCAUUCCGCGCGACGAGCCCAUCAAUCCGAAAAUCGUAUAAACCGACUGUCACAUUCACGCCCAAACUCAAAAUACAGAGGGAUCGCGCGCGCGUCCUCGCGGCCCGUCAAAUACCAUUUAAUCCCCCGUGAAAUCCGGUUUAAUUUCGCCCGGCGCACAAUAUCCCCGGGAGUCUGCCGCCGUCGAAUUCCCGAUUCACCGCCCACGCGGUGAAUCGAAAUCUUUCGACGUCAUCUUCCGCCGGAAAAUGUUUCGCUCUCCCCCCAGCGCGGAGCGCGGAACUGGGCGCGGAGAGUGAAAUGAAACUUUGCCGAGGUUACGGAACGAGGAUCGAUACGCGGGGUCGUCGCGAAAAUGCUCCAUCUAUCCCUUCACGGCACGAUCUUAUCUUCCUACUAUGCAUUCAGCUUUUUCUUCUCAUUACAACUUAACGUUGCUCGUUGUACGCACGCCGUCUCGACUUGUUCGUAUUCACCGGCGGACAAUCUAUUGCUAAGACUUGGGAGUGACGGGAGAUCGUUCGUAUCGUUCGUAUCAAUCUGGAUAUGAUUUCGCAACCGCCGGGAGGGCGAGAAAUUCAAGCAGCGCGGCUGCAGUGCGUUCCCUCCUAAUUUCGCGACACUGCGGCUCGUUUCUCUCCGCUCAUUCCCGCGCGCGUUCACUCUGCGCCAGUUUAUACCGCUGCCGCCGUCAGUUUCUCGACCCCGUGCGUGUUUGUAUAUGCUAACGUGCUACACGCCGUAAUAUCAAGCCGCGAGAGGUGGGCGACUGCGAAGCCGGUAACCAAUGGCCGAUACUGUACGCCGCGCGUGCGAUAGGGCCUUGUCCGAUAUUGGAAAUCCACCGGCGCGAGGGUUCCCUCCGGAAACGGUCGACGUCGACGCGUCAAUCAUGCAUACGAGGACCCGAGUUCCGAAAAAGUUGCGUUUUUGCGUGACAAGCGUAUCUCCGAGCGCGCGAUACUAUUUCGCACUAUUUCCCGCUUAUUUCGAUGAUAUCAGUAAUAUCCUAAUAGAUGAUAUCAGUGAAUCAAGUAACUUUUGGAAAAGGAUAACGUCAUGAGAAUUAUUCAUGAUGAAUUCUGUUUCGAGCGUAAACGUAAAUUCGCCGCACGGAAUGAAGAUCUUUAAGGACGUUCAUCGGUUGUAAUCGUAGCCAAAAGUUUUGCUCACGUUCGGCUCUCUUUUCGCGUACAGCGUGACCCUCUGCCUACUUCAUGACUUUUAGCGUAGACUCUACACACUAAUACAAUUAAUGCAGCUCUGCGUUUUAUACGUAUACACGUAUACUACCAUGCUUUGGGAGAAGCGGAGAUCCGGCAACGCUGCUUUUUUGUUGACGCAAAUACAUACACAACAGAGAAAACCACGUGCUCAACAUCAACGUGUAUGUCAACACACACUGAGACUCUCUCUCUUCAACUCUUGUGUCGUUGCGCUACAGUGAUGCCACUUUUCCAUGGCGGCUCUCCUUCCACAUAACGACACGCUUCGAAAUACCGUCAGAUCAAGAACGUUGAAUUAUAAUUACGCAUAAAGGAUACCGCUACAUAUCUCCAUCUUGUAAUAUGUCAUUCCUAACAUCGUCAUGAAUCAUAUAUUAACUUUUUAACAAAAUACAUAAACAAUUUCUGCCGUAAGAAAUUAAAAUAUCUCUCUAGAACACGCUUCGCCUAUACCUUACGUGUUAAAAUUCGUAACUUUGACAUUGAAUAUCUCGACUUUGGUACGGGCACGGUUCUUACAACUGAGCAGGUAUAUAAAUAACACUAUUAAUAGUAUAUGGUCCAAGUUUCAAGCAAAUAUAUAGAAAAUCGAUUAGCCGAUGAACGUCCUUAAGGAGAUUCAUAUUCACGGCAAGAAAAUAAGAUUUUUCUGCGAUAAGUACUGUUUAUCCACGAAACUUACAUCUUCCUACACUCAAAAGGAGAGGGGGGGGGGCUUGCGGAGAGAGGUCACGUGAAUAUGGUAAUAGCGUGGAGAGGUAGAGCAGAGAUGUAGAUAAAAAAUCGUAAUAUUUAUACAUGUAGUACUCCGUGUGUCGCGCGCGGCGCGAUUUAAAUGUUAAAAAAUUCUCAGCGCCUUGGCCUUUGGCUUCGACGGACCGAGUGUGUAUGUGUUCUCCAUUUUGUCCGCAUAGUAAUACCCGUGGAAUUAACCAUAGAACGGAGACGCGUACAUUGUUUGUAGAAACGAGGAGUGAGGUAAUUGCGGAUAAAAGCACAAAUGCAGUUUCGAUGAUACCGAAAAUGCGGAUGCGCAUCAUCUCAUGCAAAUUGCGAACGAAACAAGUUAACUUAAGAAGCAGGUCGACUGGUCAAGAUAAAAGAGUUUGAUAAGCCUCGGAUAAAAGAUUGUACAAAUGCGUAGAGAUGACCUCUCUAGGGUACACGGUACGUUCAUACAUCAAUAUAGAAAACUGAUCUUAUUAAUAUUACGUAGCCAUCGAAAACCUCAUUGCAAAUUGCAAUCCGCGAUUAUGAAUGCGGCGUCUACUUGCCACGACGCGACAGAUUCGCGUGCAGUCGGUGGCGGCAAUCGGCUAGCUGUAAGCUAAUACGCGCAAGAGAGAGAGGACGAGGAGAGACGAUCGGUCGAGCGAGGAAAGGUGGAGAAACGACAACGUUGGAGGAAUGGAGGACGGCUUUGCGCUGUUGGCGAGAGAAGCAACCGUAGCGGCAGCAGGACGAUACCGCAUAAUCGUUAGGACCGUAUUCCGUACGCUCCUAGUGCACGAGCAGAAGGCCGCGCGCAAGAUCUCUAGUGAGCGCAGCUCGGUAACCGAGGUAGCGUACUCGUAGCGGAAUGCAGGAGGAACAUUGGCGAGCACACGAAGAGCGAAAGAGAAGGAGCAACGGAAAGGAAGGGGCCGGAGGGAGACAAGUCGCGAGAAGACCAACCAGCGAGGGAGGAAAACAGACGGGUGCGGUAGCGGCAUGCAGCGCGCGGUACGUUACACCUGCAGGAGAGCGCAACCGCCGCUAUAUUGCAUCGUGUGGGCGCGGUGGUGUCAUCUCUCGGCGAUCUCCGGAGUGACCUGCCCUCCCCCGUCCCCCUCCGGUUACUCCACCAACCCUGUUGCCCUUCCCCCUUGCAUUGGCCACGAACGAGUUCCGUGCUCCCCCUCUUGGGAGGACACGUCUCUAACCUAAACCUAAACCAGCCUAACCCUACCUCAUCCUACCUCACUAUACCCUCGCCUUCUCCUCCGUCGUGCGCGCGCGACAACGCUAUCGUGGCCCCCAACUUCCCUCACCCGAUCCGAGCUCCCACCACCACGACCGCCGCUUCGACGAGUGUCCACUUUGCCUCAUCGGGGGUGGGGAUUAACUGAGAGAAGGGAGACACAUCGUUCCACGUGAGAGGAGGUGGAGGGCGAGGACAGAGAUACUGCUCCACAACGCUGUCUUGCUUUCCUGCCUCUUCGUUCACGGUCACACCCGCAGUGGAGCUCAACCUCAAGAAGAAGUGUUUUCAGCUUGAGAUUACUUGGGGUCGGAAUUUCUCGCCAAGAUUUGCCCUGGGAAGAGGAAGCGUGAUUGACCUCGAUAACAGAAACGUCGUACAAUCGUUCACACCAACGUACGAUAAGAUCUGUAUAAACCAGUUAUAUGGAUAUGAUCUUCAAAUGGCCUAACAAGUCCACUUAAUUUGUUUAGAAAUGUUAACAAAAAUGUUGAAGAAAUACUUAUAAAUCUCUGUUUUGAAAAGUGUUUCAAAAUCUUUGCCAUUCUUCGUUAAUGCAGCACUCUAAUACGUAGUACAAAUAUUUCGUUCGUCAAGACUUGCAUGACUUUUAAGCAAUUGUCAUGUUUUCGCAUGUACUUAUCAAUAAAGUAAUUUUAAAUAUUACUGACGUACUACAUGCUGUAUUACUGCUCCUAUAUUACUGCUUAUUGAAAAGUGCAUUUUAAAUAGUAGAAAAAAGAAUGAUGCGCCAGACACGUCACAACAAUGUGACAUGUUGGAAAAAUAUAAUACUUUUGCCGAAACAAUUGCGAUAUUAUUAUCGAAAGAGAAACGUGUAUUAAUCCAGCGCAACUAACAUAAUAUAACGCCUCGCGCUUGCAUCAUUUCGAGGCAGCUGCAGUACGCUGCAGGUUGAGAGUCGUCGAGGGUACAGUAUCAGGCCGGCUCCACCUAGCAUAGGGUGAACGGGUCGGAGGCCGUUGGUUCCUCAUAGAGUUGCUCUCUUCUUAUUAUUGUUACACGAACACGCGCGCACACGGGUGCGCUCGCUCGCGGGCACGCAUGCACGCACGCACGCGGCAGACGCAUGCGCGAGCCAUAUUCCGGAACGGAGGGGUCCGGAAACUGGGUUCGAGUGGGGAUACCGAGAAGCAACAAGAGGGGCGGAAGUGUUCUGUCGUGGGGCACGCGCGGUGGGGAGGAAAACAGGUUGAAUCGUGCGCGCGGCAUCAUGCUGACCGAAUCCAUGGUGGGGGAGGCAAUAGUGAUUCAGCUCAAGGGGGGUCAGGAGAAAAUCACGACGCGAGGGAACAACGCUUGCGAGGGUGGGAGAGUCGUACGAGUGGCGGGAGCGAUCGGCGCGCGAGGGAUGGGGACCAGAGGUUGCCGCACUUACUCUCUCGCCUUGCCACGGAUUACCAUUAUCAUUAUUCCUACUCUUGGUCGCGGGCGCCACUGACAGCUUUAUGUCAGAGCCAUCCUUAUGUUCGGCACGUUAUGCGCGCGUUUCUCGGUUAAUUGGAAUGUUUCUUUAAUUUUUCAUUUAACGUAUUAUUCCGUUUUUUUUCGAGCUGGCGCGAUGCGCGAUGCGAAAAAAAAUAAUAUUAAUAAGAUAUGUAUGCUAAGAUAAGAUUUGAAAGAUACACGUAUACUUGCAAACAGUAAUGGCAACAGUAACAAAAGAAUGACAGCAUAGUUAACAGGGGAAGACGAAAAGAGAGGAGUGGAGGAAAGCACAUAUAAGUACAUAUAAUACACGGAAAGUUCGUGCCGAGAUUCCUUUAGCGAAAGUCAAAUUCACAACUUUGUAUUAAAAAUUAAUACAAGUUUUGUUAGAAGCAUCGGCGCGAGUUUCCCGGUCAACCCAACACACACACACACACACGCGCGCGCGCGCACACACACACACGCGCACGCACGCACGCACGCACGCACACACACACACACACACCUACCCAACGUGCAUUAUUAUCUUGUUAAACUUAGAUAUCAAAAUAGGAAAACUCUUUCUCUUGCAUGCGAUUAUCCGUGGUAGUUUUCCUUUGCCGUCGUGUUAUUUGUUUUUCAAACAUUAUCGCGUAUAGUUUUGCCAUAGUAACUGCUUGCGUGGGUAAUCCGUUGAAACUCCAUCGCCUUCACCGACAGAUACUUGUAGUAUAUUACUCAUAGAGAUAACAGAGGGGGGGGGGAGAGAGAGAGAGAGAGAGAGAGAGAGAGAGAGAGAGAGAGAGAGAGAGAGAAUGUCCUAUAAUCUCUAACCUAGUCUCAUUCAAUAUUUGAAUCGAUAUAUCAAUAAAGGAGAACAAUGCCUUGCAAAGCUGCGAUCUUUACUAUUUAAUCAUACGCUAUAGAGUCCACUUUAGAAAGUCUACUUUAGAGAAUCCGAGAUCGAAUUUUUAUCCACAAUGUUUAAUUCCGGAAUAAUGUAUAAUUCUUCGUGAAUUGUUUAGAGCCUGACUAUAUAAAUGCAAGGACGUUGAGUGCGUCAAGAGUCGUAUUUAGUCGAUAUGUGCCUCACGGUUAAAUAAAAGGUUGUUAAAGUUACACGCGAUUUUCGCGCUCGGCAACGUCGUCGCGAUGGGAUUCGUGGCGGCAUCGUGAGGACAAAACGCGGUAAGGAACGUAUUUAUCGACUGGUCCUCAAUGAUCGGGUCCGUGCUAUUACACGGUGGACGAGUAUGCAUUCGAGAAACUUGACGCUCGCGCGGUUAGGAAGCGAAAGAACGUAGUUUCGCACCCCUUCAAGUCAGAGAUGAGAAGGCCAUGUUUGUUAAAUAUUCGGGAUCGGUCAUAUAGAAUGGACGAAGUGCAAGGCGCAAUUAUCAUCCAUUCCAAGCAAGAGAGGCACUCUCAGCUACUAUCUCUUUCUUUCGUCGGGUUAUUCCUUUCCUCUCACGCCAUUCCCCGUGAGUUCCUCACCUUCCAGUUUCUCUUCAACCUUCAAAGUCCACGACCUUGGCGCUUCGACCGGUCGCUGUGAUUUUGCCGUUGAUUCCGAGGAUGAUACUCGUGAACCGAUCACGACGAGUGCGAGUAAUCGCAUCUCUACACGAAACGUAUCGCCUUGUGAGAUUACCACGUUUCCGAAAAAGAGACGAUUGCACUAGGUCUACAACAUAUUCUCAUAUGCUUAUGGCUGAUAUGGUAGAGGAAUACCAUUAUCUAUUAGGUGCACAAAUUAAUUUGGUGCUUUCUUGUUUUUUAAGGAAUUGAGCCUUUAUUACAAAGAAAUAAUAAACAUGUCAAUCUUCGCAAUAUCUGGCAUCAGUUUCUAAUACUUUCUCCAUCUGUCGGGCAGCUGGAAAAUCUCCUCUCGAAAAAAGAAGAAAAAACAAAUUUGUUAAAAAGAAAGCACCGAACUAAUUUGCACAACUAAUAUAUGUCAAUAUAACAAAAGCUAAUAUCUUUUUCGACUGCAACACACCUUAAAAUUAAUCAAGGUUCUUCAAGACAACAUGUACACUAUCUUAACAACACCGUAAGCAACACCGUGAUCUUUGAACGUGAUCGCUGUGUCAGUCUCGACAGCGAGAGAUCGUGACGAUGCGCGCAUAGCAGCAGGAUGGACCAUUUCUUUCGCGAUCAGCGACAGCGGUUGCGAAAUAAAAUCGUCUCCGUGCACGUACGUGCAUGAUCGAGAGAAGCCACCACACCCACUCGGUCUCAGUGCUCGGGCCAGAUCGUGCCUUUUACCUGUCAUCCGUGAGUAAUAAUCUUGUAAAGCCGCGCACACCCUGCGGACGGGUUAUGGAACCAGAGAGGAGGACGCGUCCUAACGUGGAAGAGAGGACGAGAUGAAGGAGAGAAGGAGAAGCGAGAAGAAAGGAUCAACAACCUGUGACGCGCCAUACUCUGCAGCAUCUCUACCAGCUAAGACCAAUGAGCCACAUUGACAACAGCGAAUCUAUCCGCAUCCUCGUCGCCACUGACAAUUGACUAGGAAAUGUUCAACAAUUUUUUCCCCCCUGUACCUCCAUGACCCUCGAAUGCGUAGCAUAGAAUAGUUAGAAACCGGCAGAUGGUUACGAGAGGGAGAGAGAAGGAGAGAAAGUGUGAUGUAAUUUAAUUUUACUUGUUUUUAUUUCAAAAACUGCUGUACAAUUGCUGUUGAAAAACACGUGUCGCAAAGCAGUAACGUAUUUGGGAUCAGAUCACCAUUGACAAUUUAAAUUAUUCGUAUACUUGGACAAAAGUCAUAGGAACAUAAUUCAAACAGAAAUGACUACGUAGCAACAAUACUAUGGCUAUAUACAAAAAUAUUAAUGUCAGAGCUUAUGACCCGCUCUAUGUAGGUUUAUAUACCCAUUAUAUUGCAAAGGCAAGAAUUGGUGAAAUAAUUCAAAGGACGAAUACACGAAUAUAUUCGAGUCCUGAUUAUGGGACAUUUAAAAAUACAUUGGACAAAUUUUACGUUUCGAGAGCUAUUGGGCACAUGUGAGAAAAUGAAAUUGGUUGCAGAACUUCAAAUCUGCCAAAACACGAAGGGUCGGUCGUAGGUAUACGUGCCAAAAUUUCCACAGUUUACGACUCUUCUUUUGAAGAGAUUCACAGAAAGGUACCUGCUAGACAAAUUUUGUUUCGAAUACUGGUAACGGUAUUUGCACCGGAGAAUAUCAUUCCGUACUCAGAAUCCAACCUUAUCGUUAAGUUUCUACGUCAUCUACAAUAUUUUGUUUGUGAAAAUCACGCCGCGGAAGAACUGCUACACCAUUUCUCUGCGAGAGCGUAGUACGGAGUACUUGCACCGUACGCGCAUAUCCUUGGGUAGGAACCCAACUCGCCAUACCUAACGGUCGCGUAGAACUUCAGCCAUUAUCGCGGCGAUUGCCGAGUACCUGCCAGUGUUAACUCGCGGCCACGCAGAUAUCCGCAGAGCGACGGGACGCACGAGAGGAUCGGCAAGGUUAAUGCCACCGAGAGGAUAGAAAGGAGUGCUCGAAUCCUAGUUAUCGGCCACACCCGAUAAGACGCGGGAAUACCAAGGCAGAAGAUGGUAUUUAUCGGGACUCUAUCGCUCCGAUCGUUCACGGAACUCUUUGUCCUCGUAACACGACCAAGUAGUCGUCUUCUAUGCUACACAUGGAAAGGAAAUACAAGACACAAGAAUGCGAAAGUAAGGAAUGGAACUGAAGAUCGAUUGCACGCGAAUACACGCAGAGAAAUCUCGAAUAAAUGGAUGAGUAGGUUUCGCUCCAUUUCCGCGGCCGUUCGUCUAACUAACGGUAAAUAAUUAUUAACACACGUUCCAAUUCUUUAGCUAUUUGUUUUUUAUGUGAAAGGUACGAAAACUUGGAAACACCGAUUUCCGCGACGAAGUACAAUCGCCACGGAACGUUGCCACGUGCAACGUAUUUAUCAUCGAGAGCAAGGUUCAAAGUUCGAUGCUUUCCCACCGAUGCUAUCGUUCCCGAAAUAGAGAGCGACGCACUAUAUGGCGCAACAGCACUCGUUAUUCCUCGUUCCUCUUUCGCACUCCUUCAUAGUAACCGUUCUUGCACGGGCGGUUAAACUACGGUAUUAUUCAGUCGAGUUAAUAUUAGAACGGCGAUAGUCACCGCGAAAGUUAGUCCAAAGAACUUUAAAGAAAUCGCGACGAUGUAACUCUCGAUCCAAACGCACCCACGGAAAAAAGCGCUCGUGUUGGGAGCAUUAACAGUUUGGGAGUAACAGUUUGAUGCAAAGGAGAGACGGGAAUGCGCCGUUCGUGACUAUCGUUCGAUCGCUAUCGCGUGCGUUGUUGUGUAUCUCGCGGAAAGCCAAUUAUAUAUUUCAAGAAAAUACCAAUUAUAUUUCAGAAAUGACGGAUAGAAAGGCGCGGCCAAAGACUCUACAUACUUUCUCCGAAUAUUCACGGAUAUUGAGUUCUAUCUUAGACAUAAAGAUGAUUACUAAACUACUUCAGCGUAUUAAUAGCAUGGUGUUACACGUUACUUCUCACGUAACAUUAAUCUCUUUAUGUAUUCCUGUUUUCACGAGUUUCGCGAUUUUGCGGAACGUGAUCGAGGUCUUCACCGUGUAUAUCGCCACUGAAUGCCGAUUAAUGCACCGAAACAACAACGGUGACAACUCAUUCGAUGUGUACACGGCGGGAUGAGCGCCCCUGCUCAUGAAGGGUGCAUAACUCUGGCACGGUAUUACAUGGCGUGUCCGUAUGGGUCGGUAUACUAAGACUUGUCUCUAUAGAACUGGCACAGCUGUUUCGUAUCUUUCUCCUGGUCGGUCGGCCCGCCGACUCUCAUCCCUUGCGUCGCGUCGGUCUCUCCCCUUCCGUUCCAUCUUGGGCGCAACGCGCGCGCCAUCGACCCUUCCCGCGCAUAGCAAAUCCUGCGUGCCCCUUUCAAGCAGGAAGAACGUCAGGGAUACGAUUCGAACCCGUAGCUUGGUACCGUAUCGGACGCUAAAAGCAUUCGUGGCGAGCCUCCGCAUUUUUGUAUCUAUCAACGGCGAUUAACAUUGCAUGAUUUCGUUUUUUCUUUGAUUUUUAUAUCUGCAUCUUAUACAAAAAUUAGUCCAAGUAAAAGAGAUACGAUCUAUAUGCUCACACACAUACAUAUGCAUACAUCUUAAAAAUAUUGUAUAAUGUGAUAUUCCUCCUUCCGUAGCCUUCAACUUCGGGCUUUAUAUAACUUUGAUCGCAACCUGGUGAGCGACAUGAAUAAAACAUAUUUGAUAUUUUAAUGCGUGAAUUGCAUAACAGGUUUGGCAGGAACUUUCGGCACCUCCUCCUGACCCAGUUUUUUCAUUGAUCGCACUUGAAAUCUUCUCCAUCGAGAGCUUACGUUCAUUAUACACAUCCCAUCUUUCAUUUUUCUUUAUCAAUGUCUUCCUAAUAGCUCUAUUUGUCAUUUUAAGAGAAAGCGUAACAAGUCUUAAGGAAAUUCUUGAGAUUCUUGUGCAUUGUCUUGGAACACGUGGAACACACGUUCAAAGAAAUUCGCUUUUCCUCUUGCUUCGCUUUCGACAGUACGUCAUUUGUCUUCGUAGACAAAUAUGCGAGAAACAAUUUUGAGAAACAUGUCGAAAGCACGAAUUCGUUCUGCCGGCACCAGUACUCUCGAUAAGCUCCGAGUCCUUGGUCGGCAAGUGCGAACGCAGCCGUAGCUCUUUUGCAGGCUCUUGAAACAGAAGAAUCCCUUUUUUGGGAUAAUAGUAGUUUCGCGUUACGCGCGGUACGCGUAGCCGUACAUCGGGAUGCGCGAACUCGCUUGCGAUAGGAUACAGUGUUACCUGCUCAACGUGUAAUUCACUUAAUAAUGUUCCGUUCUCUCUCUGUCUUUCUGUCUCUCUUUUCCUCUAUCUCCCUCCGCGUCGCUCUCUUUCCCUCUCUCCGAUCGCAUCGUGGAUUUCCCUCCUCGCGAACACUUGGUGCGAGAGUUAAUUACCUGUUACACACUCCGCAGAGUAGAAAAUGUCAGUUUCUAAUCUCCUACGUCUACGUAUAUUGAGCUCGAUACCUUGGCGAUUUUUCCCAAGAGCAUGCCGUUACACGGCAAAGCCGCGUUCUUCAUUUUGACACAAGUACAACAAGAUUUGUAAUUCAACGUGUAAAAUUUAACGCAGAAUUCAAUUUCUUUCACAAUUCCUUUAUGAAAAUAAUUAACAACUUUAUGCUAAUCCCGAUUAAUUACGUAAUCCUAUACUGUGAAACGGAAACGCAAGUAGAAAAGUUGAUAUACCAAUCGCGAGCGAGUGACCGAUGAAAACCGUCUUCGCGGAUGCGUCCGUAACGUUCCUUAUCCUACAUGAGGUUACACCGGGUGUUUGAACGUCGCAUUGACCAGACGUGCAAUCCGUCGUCGUCGUCGUCAUCAUCACCGCCGUGACGAUUUGAGCACCGCUGUACGCAGGAAACGUUCGUAGUGCGAUUAAUACCAAGAGGCGUAUACUACCCGGAUCGCGCACGUCGGCUGUCAGCUGUCGUCGAAGAGGGUCCAGAGCACCAACGGGCGAGCAAGCGGUGCGACCUUGCCGACCAGUUGUCUUCGCUCCGCUCGGCUAAUUAAUGUCGCAACGCCGCACGCGCGGUACGUACGCGUCACGAUGAAGACGAUGAAGACGACGAUGACGAUGAUGGUGGCGACAAAGCAAUUCAGCAGGAAAAAUGAUAAGCCCGUGAUCGUGAUGUCGCCGUUGCAUCGACACGUUCGACACGUUCAUCGUGUCGUCAAAUCAGUCGGCAUUACCAAGACGGAGCGAGCUCGAGGAUGCUCCUCGCUUUGGACGCACCAAAGCAAACCUUUGACUUCGAGACAUAACACGCACAAUUAAACUAAAGAGUUUUGCCCGCGAUCGGUCCCGUGUAAUUCAAUCAAUAUAAUUUAAAAUAAUUUGGGUUAAUUGUUGCUCGCGCGCAACGCCCAGUAUGUCCAAUCUAAUUGCAUUAAUAACGAUAACAGUUAAGCGAGAAAAGCCAGAACAAGAUCAUUAAUAGAUAAUAGUUGGAUAGAAAUUCUAAAUCAAUGGCUCGUGCGAAAGGACGAAUCAAAUCAAGUCGUCCUUUCAUCAAUAGAAUCGUGAACAAUUAAAGGGAUGAAAUCACGUGUCAUCUCGCGUCCCAUCUGUCGCGGUCCUGAAACAACGAGGAAGGUAAUAACAAUUUUCUUUCGCGCUUCCUCAAAUCUUAAUCGUACAAAUAAACGUUUGUGGCACCUUUUACUCGAAUACUAGAAUGAUUUUACUAGAAUGAUUGACACCAUCGCGAUGCAGCGAUACGUCCAGAGCCCGCGUAAGAACGCGGAAUCACGAUGCACCGCACGCGCGCUUGCCGCGCGAUCGCGAGGGGUAACAAGUGGGGAACUGAUUGAACGCAGCCGCACGGCAAGCGUUCCCUCUCGAUUAAAGCAACCUGGAAAACUCGUUUGCCCGAACUGUGUCACUGUCACGGUAAUUGGCGAAAAAGUCGAGUUUCUUCGCUACGAGAGGUCGUACCGGCGCAUACGCGCGCGUGCGCGCUCCCUCCGUCACCCCUCCUUGCGCCGGUCGCAAAAAACCGUCGGACCUUUAUUUAAUUCAAUGCCUCUCGUUAUCACCGGGCCGAGAGUAUCUGCAUUCAUUAUGUGCCGCUCGUGCACGCGGCCGCGAGAACCUGUUGUCCGACAGUUCCUGAUACCUGUCUGUUCUCGAGAGAACUGACGGACUUAACUGUGCAAUGCUCGACGUAGGACGGUACAGUUUGUUCCGCGUUCCCGCGGGUUCAACAGUAAUCUCCCCGCAAAAUUCUUCGAAAUAUGAUGAUGUUCUAAACAACAGCAGAUUUACUAAACUUUGUAAAAUAAAUAUCAAAUAAAUAUCAGAUUCACGAUUGUUUUUCACCAUUUCACCGGAUAAAGAGGCGAAAUAAAGAGGCAAACGAGUUACCUUCCAAGUUACAAAUUGUAACGUACAAUUCGACGUUGGAAUACUCGUUCCCGGCCAAUAGAGUCUGAUCGACUCUCGCAUUUCGGUUUCUGUUCGAGACUCAAAUUCGCAUCGCGAGGUUUCGCGCGCUAGUUACGAUAGUCAAAAGUGCAUUCUAUGCGGCACGAGCACAUGCGGAGGCUCUAGGAGCAGCUCGGCUCGCCAUCGCCGGGGCCGGGCGCAAUCUAUUAUUACGGACCACUGUGAGUUUAAUGCGCCUCGCUUAUCUGCGUUCACCGUCGGGUGCGUACUAUCUCUCGUGUACCCAGCGACUGGAAUCACCCCGAGGCGGGUUCUGUGCACGAGUCCAAGUAAAGCAAAGUGUUUCUCUCUCAGGUUAGCGCACCUACUCCGACGCGCUCGCUCGGGUAUCGCUCGUCGCGAACAGCGGAAUGCGGUUGACGUCGACCAGCUCGCUGGAACGUGUAUAAAUGUAUACGUAUGUUGUGUGUGCUGCAUGAAUAUCUGUAAGUACGCUUCAUUUUAUGAACCAUCCGACCAUUUUACGAAACGCCGUUCCACGGAAAAGCGAUGCUUUACAGAAAAAUCAAGUCGAAGAACGAGUAAAAUUUGCGGAGACAUGUGCCAAGAUCGAUCCUUCGCUAAAUUUCAACGUCCCUGCGUACACUGGGAUGAUUUUGUGGUCCAUGGACAAAAAGGCGAAAAGAUGGAAACGAGAGUGAACGGGAGAAGGUACGUUUAAGGGCGUUUACGAUGAAGACAAAAACUACAGAAAUGCUAAACGGAGGAGGAGAAAUAUCGAUGGAUACCUAAUUUGAGCUCGUCUUGGAUUGCGUUUUCAUCAAUCGACCCUGAAUUAAACGAAAGGACUGUACUUUGUUGUAAGAAGAAAGGAACAGGAAGGAUCGGAUGAAAAAGAAAUAGAGAGAGAGAGAGAGAGAAAACAAUAUGAAUCUUUAAUGAGGCGAUGGAUGAUAGCGACAUGAAAUUUGAAAUUGUGCUCAGUUACCCUCAUUACUUGCUUUUCUCACUUUGCGGUAAACGUUCGCAAAAUACAGAUCAUCUGACAGAUUUUUUCAUUACUCUAUCAUUGACACUAUUCCGACAUAAAAUUUCGCUUUUCAAUAAUGUUAUUUUAAACCAGUCUGUAGUUGACUUUAAUGAAUUUCGCGAUUAGAGAAGAUAGGAAUUAACUUCACCUUUCUGACCAAGUGUCGCAUUGUGCGAGAAAGCCAGGCACACAGUUCGAUCCCCGCUGAUAACGACCAGGGGCUAAAGUAAUCUCUUCGUAACGUCGCUCACGAUUUCUCGGAGAAAUUGACGCUCGUAUCCCACCACAUUUGGAUAACCGACACUUUCACCUUAUUUAGAAAAAUAGUUCGCUAGACAGUCACGAUGGGUCACACGGUCACGAUGAGAAUGAUACAUGCUUCACCAUCAGAAACAACACAUCCGAACUUUGUUUGUUUUACACUUUAGGUACACCUCUCAGCAAAACUAUCGUCGACACGGAUUCGACGACCGAUUAUAGUGACUUAUGUAUUUGGUGUGGCACUGUCUCUGCCAAAUUUCUAGACAUCCCUAGCAACAUUCUGGAUUUUUUAUGUCUAUUGAGUCGUUUCCUGUAACGAGUGUUUCCCAUUACAAAUCAACGGAUGCCCAAAGUUCAUCUGCUGAAUGAACAAUACAAAAGUGGAAAUAACAGGCUUGAACAAGUUUCGGUACAACAUAUAGACAUCCUAAAGUUAUAGUUUCGAAAUUUAAAGUUCCAAGUCUAUACCUAACCUAAAAGGCCUUGAAACUUUAAACAUAAUGUGAUAACAUGCAAAUAAUUGAUCGAUUUAAGAACUAUUGGAUUGACUGAAAAAUCCGUGCGACGUUUUUAGCAACAUUGAGACGCAAAACUUUGUAUUAAGAAUUAUUAGGCGUAUGCAAAAGGUUUAAUCUUUUUUUUCAGCGCUCUGGUAUUAUUAUCCAAACUUGAAAUUCUCGAUUUUUUACGUUUUUAAAGAGAGAGUUUUUGGCAUCGAAAUUUCUAAAACGUCAUAUGUCAUGAUUGAAUGAUAAAUAUAACGUUCGACAAUAAUAGUGAACGCGAUGAACAAUGAAAAGCUACACAUACUUUACGUAUUUAGCAAACCAUUUUGGACCUGGGCAGCGAUCACGUAACUUUUUCUCUAGGAAAAUGAAAAGUUUCACGUAUUUUCGCAAGUAUUCAAUAUAUACAAUAUUGCAUAGUUUUUUAAGAAAACGAUGAGGAAGACACUCCCCUUAGUGAUUAUACUUCCCACGAACCGAGAUACGUAAUCGUGAAUACUGAAAAAGUUCACACGAAAUAGAUAAAGUGGAAAAUAAAAAGUAAACAGUUUCACUCGCAAUUACAUAAUCGAUCCCCUGGGCUGGAAAGUUUUUCCGCACGCGGCGUGUCACCCAACUUGGCGCCUUCGGAUUACCAAUUAUCCCAAUCGAAGCAGUACUAUUAACUAGAUAGUACUUUCGAGAUGUGGCGAAACACCUUUUUUCACAAAGAAAUUUAUCUGAGAGAUGGCAGAAAAUCGUAAAAAAAACGAGGCCAAAUUUGUUGAUAACUGCAUUGUAUUGUAUAUAAUGUAUAUGCAGCUAAAAAGCGAAAAAGUACAAAAAAUGGCUAAAGUUUUUGCAUACACCUAAUAAUUAAUAUUAUAAUAUGUUCAUAAUAAAGUAAAAUAUAUCAAUUCUUUAAUACAAGUGAUGCCAUAAAUUCGCUACGGAUUAGGGAGACACGCUAUUCUUACAAGUCUUCUAUUUACGUUAGAAGACAAUGACCAAAAGAAUCAGAGCUCAAUCUCGAAAUUCCAGAAAGUUUUACCAAUACGACGAGUGUCAGGAAGUGUAGAUGCAGGUAGUUCAUAGGUUUUAAAUGCAAGGGAUACAUGGCAGGGGCGGAACAAAGAGAGAAAGCUUGCGGAACGUGAAGCAGCAUAGGGAGAAGGGGAAGAGGCCCGGCUUGCCGGCUUCGAGUCUGCACUGUCGUCCUGCAAUAACCGUUCGCUCUUUGUCCGCUCAGCUGCCUCUUGCUUGCCAGUGGUUGUCAACCGAACUUGUCGCGGAUCAUCUCUCGUAAAGGUCCAUUUAGUUCCAUAUUGUGUAAAAGUCCACUUAUCCCUUCUUACUGCUUCUACUAGUUAUACUUGUUAUCCCGAUAUAAUGGACUACAAACGGAUCACGUUAAAAUUUUCAAGUUUUUGAAAGUUGGUUAUCGAACCACGCAUUCUUUUACGACUGUCGCUUCUUUUUUGUGUAGAACUACAUAGUUCCAUGUACGAGGAAAAUCUCUGAUACUCUUAUUUAAUGUAUGCAUUAUUUCCUAUAUAUUAUCUAACUAGUAAUCUCCGUUUUUAUAUGUUUUUGUAUGUUUACGUGUUAUUUAAUCGCGCAGUGUAAUCAGUUUUUAUAUCCUGCCUCUCUUUCUCGUAAUUGCAAUGUUGUAUAAAUGUUUUCUAUUUGCUCGCUAAAGCGAGAAACACGAGUCGGUAAAUCUAAUUUUCUACAUUCAUGUUGCUAUUAGCUAUGCAUAGUUUUAUACGAAUCAUACUUAAAAUCAAUAUUCAUAAAAUAUUAAAAUAAUUAACAUCUCGCGAACGCGGAAACAAAAAUUUGCUGACACAACAUAUUUUAUGCUGUCAUAAUAAAUUUUGUCGUUUACUGUGUGGAACGCCAAGAAACUCGUUCAUCAAGAAUAUUAAUAAAUAAACAAUUAAUUAAAACUAAGAAAUUUAAUUAAUUGAAAAAUACUUUGCCAAAUUAUCAAAUCAUUGGAUUGUAACAAAAGCAUUGUAGCACUUUUUUAGUGUAAUUCCAAGACAAAUAUUAUUACACAUGUAUAUAAAUAAUUACCUAAAUGCAUCAGCAGUGACAGUCUCGUUCGUUACUUAUAUUACGUUGGCGAUCAGAAUUCAAAAGUAUAUUGAGAUCUCUUAGUAUAACUCACCUGAAACAGAAAAAUAAAACAGAGAUAUAAAUAACAUGUUUGUUGCCUCCUUCCCCUCAUUAGAGACGUAAGCGUGACUUAAUAGUAUAAUUAGUACUACUUGAAAUUUGACGGCAACGCACGUUUGCGUCUUUACGCGAUAUAGAAAUAGACUAGACAAGAAAAUAUUGAAACUGACAUCAUAAUAUUCAGAAGGUAGAAAAUGAAUCGUAAAAGCAAUAGGAGAAAAAAGGUGUGUGUGUGUGUGUGUAAAAUCCGUAGAUGUAUGGGGCGGUCAGUAUCGAGCGACCUACCCCGCUAUAGCAUCCCUUCGCACUCCUCGUGUCAUGGGUCUUCUUCUUCCCCUCUCUGGUCCUCACUUCGUUCCCUUUCCACCACGCGACAACCCACGAUCACCAAUAUCCUUCACUACAAUCUCCCACUUACGUGACGUAAGUAGCGUGAAUUUGUUUUGAUAGCUACACGUUUACAGUACAAGUCACACAGUAUCUCAUUCCUAUUCCCGAUGUAUAACAUCAUGCGCGAUGGAUUAUAUAACAGGCGACAAACUACACUUGAUAAGUAUUUCGGUACUAUACUCGUUAUCGAUGAUUAAUCCAUAAUCUGAUAUAUUGUUUAGCUGCAACAUGCUUAGGAUCAAUAGCACACGCGGUUACGCUACCAUGAAUUUCAUCGUGUGUUCCAACCUUGUUUAAUAUCCAAGAUAGACGAGCUUUCAGCAGUUUUGCAGAGACACGUUUAAUUAUAUAAUAUUAUACAUAUAACGCUCAUUUAAUGGUGAAUGAUGCUUCUUACUUUAGCAUAAUUACAACAUAUUCAUGGAAGAUAAUUACAUGUAAUAAUAUUAAGCCGAUUUUCUAAUAGAUUUCAAAGCCGUAAGACGACGGUUACAUAAUGACUUUUUUUUAUUAACAAGCUAUUCUCCCGUGAGUUAAACGAAUGAGCAAGCAACAAACGCAUAUGACAGGCGGCAUGAAAUAUAUGUGUCACUCGUAUGAAAUAUAUGUGCCUCGUCUAUCAAACGUUUCUAAUGGCUAAGAUUAUUUCGUUCUCGUGCUGCUUCCGUCUCAAUAUGACACGAAUGAACGUGCGAUGAGUACGAUUUAGCAGCGUUCGUACAACGACUGCUAAAGUAGGAUGCCCGCGAGCGGUUUGUUUAACGAUUUAUAACAUGUACACGAUACAGUGCGAAUUACGUAACACGAUAAAAUCACAAAGAUACACGGGAGGAUGUGCUAUCGCGUUACUCGUUUCAAUAUUUCUGUAGCUCGCGCUUGACACAGGCUUUUAAACAAAAUUUCUGUAGUCUUUAUCCAAAUGGAUAAAACGGAUAAUACGAUUCGCCAUUUCACAUCAAAGCGAAAUCAACAAGGCGUGCACUAACAUGUAUAUUGCAGGAUCUUGGUGAAUUCGACUGUUUUAUGAAAAAUAUCUGGCAAUUUAUAUGUAGAUUAAACAUUUCAUCAAUGAAAGAAUUGACAGUUUACGAUUGAGAGUGAUAAUCUCAGUUGUCCCAAUUCUAAAUGGCCACUUUGCGAUCUCACGCACUGCCACAACAAAAAUAUACAAAUGUUUGAUGUACGUAUAUGUAUCAUUGGUGCUUUCUCUUCAGUUUGUUGCUACAGCAGAGAGAGAGAGAGAGAGAGAGAGAGAGAGAGAGAGAGAGAGAGAGAGAGAGAGAGAGCGUGUGUGUGUGUGAGUGUCAACACAACCUUCCUAACCAACCCUCUUCCUAGCACAGUGGCAACACAGCCCCGACCCUCUACUCUAUCCUAAAGUUACAUCACACUGUAACUAUAGGCGCGCUGCUAUCAUUGAAUCAAUAAAUACCUGCCUGGUUGUGUUGGGGACACUUGGCGGGUCAAGCUCGGCUCUCCGGGCUCUCGAGAGUGCCUAACGAUACGAUAACCGCUUAACCCUUUAACCGCCAUUGCAUCGGAAAAGUGUCUAGCGAUGCGCGCUCUGAGGCCUUUUACGAGUUGUUGAUUAAAUGACGCUUGAGAGCCAGCGUCGUUUGACAAACUGCAAAAUGGUUAAUACGACACGUCAAUAUCGGACUUUAAAAGCAGAAGCCGAUAAAAAAAGAAGAAAUCAAUUUUUAUUUUUCUCAAAAUGUAUUUUUUCGCAAUUGUCUAGCGUAACAGGAGUUCGAGUUACCUUGCGGACAAAUUAUCUUGAGCAUUCGGCGUAUUACCACACUGUGAUAUGAUGUCGAGUGGUCGCGCAUAAAUUGAAACUGCCAAGCUUUUAUGUCACCCAGCAAUAUGUGCCAGAUGCAUUAGGCGCGUUCGCGUAAUCGAUAGACGGGUUUCGUAAUUGCGCAAGGAACGUUUUACAUAACGAAUCAGAUUUUUAUCGUCUCGUAAUGCGUCGCGACGUAUAUCCCGGUGUUUAUUCAACUUACUUCUUUUUCAUUCUCUUUUUCCUUUUGUUUGUUGCAAUUACAUAUUCAAUUGCCGUGAACAUUAAAAUCUAUAUCGUAAAGCCGUAUAUUCACGCGAAUAAUUUACACUGAUCUUUAUUAAUUGGACAUUUUAUUUAAUAAUGUAUAAGAUAUCUUUCUUGAUGACGAAAUGUGGAUAUAUAUCUGCUUCCAAUAUUUGCUAGUGAGCAAACAACGAUUUGAGGAUCACUGCCAAACCAGCACCCUCAGUACGGUGAACCCUCGCUUUCUUUCUUCUAUCAUCCCCUCGUACGCUGCCUUAUCCAGCGGCAGGAUACUACGAAAUCAAGCUGCGGCAUUUGCUACCAUGUGAAUCGUGUACGAAGCUGUCCAACCCUACCUGGGCAUAAAACACUGCCACAGACACCAUAUGGUUAUGAGCGUGGCUUUUGUAUGGUGGUUUAACCUCGUUUUGCCAACUUUAAGACCGCCUAUCGCAGGAAACGACGUCGCGAGCAGGCACGUAAAAAUCGAGGACUGGGUCAAUGAUCAUUUUCGUUGUUGCUGUGACAUACGCGAUUUAUCGAACAGUAGACUCAAUUCGGCGCGUAUCAUAAUUGAAAAAUUAUCGUUAUGUUGCAUAAUCACAUCAUAUUAUAUAAUAUAACGCAUAUCCAACAAAUAAUUCUUGGAAAUACGUCUUAAAAUGUAUCGCAAACGGCCAAAGUAUCCUUUAGGAGUACUGCAUAAGAGAAACGCCAAAAAGCGCAGAUAAGAUCGCGAGAGAGACGGUUCUUAGUCAAUGACUUAUGUCUUAUUCUGCAUUUUUCUCACGGAUUUCCAGAGACAAUCGAGCAGACUUGGGCAAUCAGUGAAUGGAUCAUGCAAGAUGUCGAGUAACGAAGUUGACGAAAUCGUUCAUAUAGCAGAGAAACAGCAAUGUAAGAAAAGUGACGGCACUUAAUGAAAUAAUUUCAUCGAUCUCGAUUCUACGCACGCUGGACAGAUGAUUCGCGAGUGAACCGAAGGUAGAAUUGCGAGUUUAUAAUCAAGUAUGGACAACUACUCGGACACACGAAAUUAGUUCAGAGAAGGAGAUCAUAUGGAAAUUCUCUGAUAGUCUCAUUAACGCAAAACAACGUAACAUGUAAAUCGAGUAAAUCUUACGUCUAAUAACAUCCGCCAUUCCUGAAACGGCCAUUGACUUAAAAAACGACGAAUUGCCAUAUAUAACGUCACAUCGAUGAAUCAGACAUGUGAUAAUGGGUAGCAUUAUAUGUUGCAGUCAAGUUAAUGCUUAGUUAAUGAGAGUUUUUGACAAGUUGAACUUUGACACCAAAGUCAAACCGAAGAAUUACAAUUUCCUAAUCAAAUGCCAACAGACGUUUACUUUAUCGUGGUAUUAUCCUCAUUAUUAUAUUAAUUGAUUUUUUUGGUGUGUGUACUAGCUCCUCUGUUAUCCUACACAACAGAGCGCGGAACAAACAGAUCCAAAUACCAUUACACUUACAAUUUCGAGGAUUAAUCAAGAAAAGUAAAUGUAUUCAUUAUUUUAUCUACAGCUUGUUCGAAAAUCACCAGGAACAUGAUUCAACUCAUCUUCCGCCUGCAUUACCGUAAGAUGCAGUUGAAAACCGCUGCAGAACACUCAGCUGGAGCUCUGACACGAGGUACUUCGCCGAGAAGAAAAGAGACGACGAGACGGCAACAGCGCGGCGCUCGACGGACGGGUGGCACCGCUUCCACGCGCGCGCACGCGAGCGAGGAAAAACAAGGAUAAAAGAGAAAGAAAAGGAGCAAGAGAGAAGGAAAUGCGUUGAGUGAGAGAGAGAGAGGCACAUGUACGCAACGUGCGUAUAUUCGUGUAUUCGUGUAUUCGAGACGAGGGAGAAGGGGAGGGAGGAAAAGAGAGAGAGAGAGAGAGAGAGAGAGAGAGAGAGAGAGAGAGAGAGAGAGAGAGAGAGAGAGCCCAUAUGUUCUCACGCAACAGAGAGAAACGGAGAAAUGCACAGGAGAGUGCAUUGCGUGAAAUGUACCGCGCACGUACGCAUCCGCACGCACCCACACACGCGCACGCGUAUCCUCAGUGAAUCUCUCUUCUGCAACCUCCCCUCCUUCGCACGUUCCACAUCUCCACGCGCGAUUUUGUAGCAAUUGGUAAACCAUCCGACGACACGUACGAGUCGCAUCUGGCUCGGAUGCGUUUACGCGACUUCUAUACGCGUCUAGUCGUCGCGAGAGAAUUCGGCGCCAGGAAGCCGAGUAGAAUGACGAUGCACGCACGAGGGACAUUUUUCGAAAUGUAUAUAUCUUUCACGAUAUUAUUUGGUUAUUGCAUAGUUAUUUAAAGAUGUAUCUUUACAAUUAUACGCUUAAAUAUUAAUAUUUGAAUAAAGCCAGUGCACGUAGGCGCACCUUUUGCACGGAUCUUUGUUAUACCGCUCGUCCACAAAGAGCGGAGAAAGUUUCUCGUGCGAGUCACGCAAAAGCGCGGGGGAAUCGCUGAAGACGACGGAUGUGCAACGCACGUUGCACAACAUCCGUUUUUACCAAAGUCGUCGAUUAUUUAAAAAAAGGAAGGAAACUGCGGGCACCGUGAUUAUAUUACGACGAAACCGAAGGGUUAUUCAUUAAACUAUCAACCAUUUUCGUGCCAAAGUAAUAAGAGUUGUAAUUUUACGCCGAGUAACCUGGUUUGAUUCCACUUGACAAAAGGAGGGUGUGUAUGCAUAUAUGCGAAUAAAUAUAACUAAAGAUCGCAACGAAUUAUCAUAUGUACUUUUACGCAUUGCCCGAUCCCGAUUUUUUCUCUUCUUGUGGCAAAAAUGGAAAAACAGUUGUCACUGAUGAAUGAUCGUGACCUGAUUAUUUAGAAACAGGAGACAGGUGCCAGAUUCUUAAAAUCCAGAUAUACAUGAAAUAUGCAUGUCAUGUUAUCUUAAAACUGUAAUGAGUCGUUGGGGAGUGAGUUAUCAGUUUUUCUUUCGGACAAGAUUAGUAUAUGUACAAAUUGAUUGUUCUAUAACGGAAGUGUCACGAACCGAUAUUAAUACCUGAAUUAUUUUCUAAAGUGUUAGUCAUGUAAGAGUAGAGCGAAACAGGGAGUCUCUUAUUUAUCAUUCAAACGAUAGUUUUGUAAUCCGUGGUGCAUGACUGUUUCUCGAUCUGCAUGCGAAAUUAUUAAUAUUGUCGAUAAAUGCUCAGCGUAAACGUGAGCAUGAUUCGCGCAUGGAUCGACGAUCAUUUUCACCUCGUAUGUACGAUCGUCUAACUCGACCAGCGAUACGUUUAAAAUUUCAUGACGGUUAAUAAACUUUACGCAGACACACAUAUGUUAAUAUUACCGAAUCGUUUCAUCGCACUUUGUAAUUAUGUAUGUGAAUUUGGAAACAACAAAUUGAUGAAUGCGAUGAUCCUACUGUCUGUAAUGAUUCGGUAAGUAAAUUGCUUUAAUUUGUGUCCAAUUUCAUUUAAGGAAAAAACUUUGUUAAUUGAUAAUUAAAUUUGAAAUCUCCUUUCCUUCCUUUAGGUUUCCUUGUGUUUUCAGAAUAACGUUACGAAAUAGCAAUUAUUAUAAUUGCCUAAUCAACUUACGAAACAUUUCGCACAAACUGCAUCGAAGUCGUGCAUAAAUUCAGUCUCAAAAGAGAUUACAUGUGUAUGUGAGGAGAUUCUUUUUUCUAUCCCAUCUUUUUCCACAAGUGUUGCACAUAAGAUCCGUGACUGCGAUGGAAGAGAGAAGAUGAGAGAGAGAGAGAGAGAGAGAGAGAGAGAGAGAGAGAGAUUCAAGAUCUAGACAAUUGCAUUAUUAUUCCGAUGGUAUCCCGUACAAUAUAAUAGCGAUACUCUUUCUACCACUUUUCGAUUCCAUCAGGAGAAUCCAACUCGAGCCCGAAGUAACAAAGGACUCACGCUGGGCCAUUCGAAUUUUAGGCUGCAUUAUCUACACACGUGAAUUCUAUUUUUUCCCUUCGCGCGUUGUUAUGUCGAGAAAUCCCAACCAAUGGCUUCUAAACUGCGGGUUGAAACCGUACGGUCAACGGCCAUUUUCCCCCAAACUAGAUCGCAUUAGAACACGUGUAAAAGUGCCCUAUAUACAUCUUGUGCGUUUCCUCAUUUAAUAUUCAUUGAAGGCGAUUUUUCUUUGAUGUAUGUAUGCGUCGACUACCACGACUAGUCCUCGAAAUCCGAGAUACUCUUCAGCUCGAUAAAAUUCUAAUCGAGUCUCGAGCUCCUAGAACCGUUUCAGCAUCGAAGCUUUGUUUCAGGUUCGUCAUCGAACCUAAAUAUCUAAAGAAAUAUCUGCAGCAGGCGGCAUGUUAGCUCAAAUGCAAUUUUUGCUUGCCGCCGGUUUUACACUGGGAAAAAAAAAAAAAAAAAAAAUUGUUCAACGAAAAAAAAAAUUAUUUGACUUAACAAAAUGCUGCGGUCGGAUACGUUCAAAUAAAUGUCAAUGUAAUAAGAACUAAAUAUUUUGUUUAAUGGUUACGAUAUUUUUAAAUUUGGUCCAACCAAAUUUAGUUAUUGCAGACAAAAUAUUUAUUUAAUUCUACAGUAUAUUUAAUUGAAGAGAAAUUGUUGUUUUGAUGUUUUGAUGACUCAUAAAAUAGCAUUAAUUGAGAUAACAAAAAGAUGUGUGUGUCAAACAAAAAAUAAUGAAAGAACAACAAAAUCUAUGUUUAAAAUAAGGAUGUAGUUUUUUCGUUCGACUUCAUUAUAGUUGAAACCUAUAUAAAUCAAUAUUACCGCGAACGUUAUAUUUUUUCAUUUAACCAAGGAUAUAGUCAGAGUGACAAAACGUAGAGUAGGACGAACUUUAUGUUUAUUUAACACAACACAAUAUCCUUUUAAUGAAGUGAAAUAUUUUGUUUAUUUUGUAAUAAAUUAAAUUGAAUG
RNA transcript from Ooceraea biroi (clonal raider ant), 24901 nucleotides. RefSeq lists it as uncharacterized. Lineage: Eukaryota; Metazoa; Arthropoda; Insecta; Hymenoptera; Formicidae. The record is from RefSeq and is a predicted model, not a curated record.